CAGCCUGCCCAGUGACAUAGUUAAACGGCCGCGGUACCCUGACCGUGCGAAGGUAGCACAAUCACUUGUUCUUUAAAUGGGGACUAGUAUCAACGGCACCACGAGGGCUUUCAUGUCUCCUUUUUCCAAUCAGUGAAACUGAUCUCCAUGUGAAGAAGCAGGGAUAUACCUAUAAGACGAGAAGACCCCAUGGAGCUUUAAAUCCAACAAACAGCCCGACACACAUAACUCAUCUUAGUCAUCAAAGCCAUGUUUGUUGGUUUUAGGUUGGGGUGACCGCGGAGUAAAACUAAACCUCCACGACGCACGGGAUUAGUCCCUUAUCUAAGAGCUACCUCUAUAAGAAUUAAUAUAUUAACGUAAAAUGACCCAAAUACAUUUUGAUCAACGAACCAAGUUACCAUGGGGAUAACA
RNAcentral lists this ribosomal RNA (414 nucleotides) under Sphaerotheca dobsonii (Mangalore bullfrog). RNAcentral's name for it is "partial 16S ribosomal RNA". It matches the Rfam family "Bacterial large subunit ribosomal RNA", at positions 1854 to 2479 of the family's 2925-position model. The record is from RNAcentral. Lineage: Eukaryota; Metazoa; Chordata; Amphibia; Anura; Dicroglossidae.